CGAACGGUAACAGGAAGCAGCUUGCUGCUUUGCUGACGAGUGGCGGACGGGUGAGUAAUGUCUGGGAAACUGCCUGAUGGAGGGGGAUAACUACUGGAAACGGUAGCUAAUACCGCAUAACGUCGCAAGACCAAAGAGGGGGACCUUCGGGCCUCUUGCCAUCGGAUGUGCCCAGAUGGGAUUAGCUAGUAGGUGGGGUAACGGCUCACCUAGGCGACGAUCCCUAGCUGGUCUGAGAGGAUGACCAGCCACACUGGAACUGAGACACGGUCCAGACUCCUACGGGAGGCAGCAGUGGGGAAUAUUGCACAAUGGGCGCAAGCCUGAUGCAGCCAUGCCGCGUGUAUGAAGAAGGCCUUCGGGUUGUAAAGUACUUUCAGCGGGGAGGAAGGCGACAGGGUUAAUAACCCUGUCGAUUGACGUUACCCGCAGAAGAAGCACCGGCUAACUCCGUGCCAGCAGCCGCGGUAAUACGGAGGGUGCAAGCGUUAAUCGGAAUUACUGGGCGUAAAGCGCACGCAGGCGGUCUGUCAAGUCGGAUGUGAAAUCCCCGGGCUCAACCUGGGAACUGCAUUCGAAACUGGCAGGCUAGAGUCUUGUAGAGGGGGGUAGAAUUCCAGGUGUAGCGGUGAAAUGCGUAGAGAUCUGGAGGAAUACCGGUGGCGAAGGCGGCCCCCUGGACAAAGACUGACGCUCAGGUGCGAAAGCGUGGGGAGCAAACAGGAUUAG
RNAcentral lists this ribosomal RNA (729 nucleotides) under uncultured Enterobacterales bacterium. RNAcentral's name for it is "bacterial SSU rRNA". It matches the Rfam family "Bacterial small subunit ribosomal RNA", at positions 63 to 781 of the family's 1533-position model. Lineage: Bacteria; Pseudomonadati; Pseudomonadota; Gammaproteobacteria; Enterobacterales. The record is from RNAcentral.